RNAcentral lists this RNase P RNA (404 nucleotides) under Mycoplasmoides fastidiosum. Its description in RNAcentral is "Mycoplasma fastidiosum RNase P RNA component class B". It matches the Rfam family "Bacterial RNase P class B". From Rfam's summary of the family: Ribonuclease P (RNase P) is a ubiquitous endoribonuclease, found in archaea, bacteria and eukarya as well as chloroplasts and mitochondria. Lineage: Bacteria; Bacillati; Mycoplasmatota; Mycoplasmoidales; Mycoplasmoidaceae. The record is from RNAcentral.
UAUUCAAGUUAAUCGCUGGUUGGUAUAUUAAAACCAAUUAGAGGAAAGUCCAUGCUCACACUAUGCUGAGAUGCUAGUAGUGAUUGCACCAGGAAAUAAACAAUAAACCUGGGCGCGAAGCAAUUCGUGACGACCAUACAAUUUGACCUACAGCAGUUUUGCCAUGGUUUAAUUUUAACCAAAGUGCCACAGAGACGAGUCGUAUAGAAAUAUACGGGUGAAACGCGGUAAACUCUGCAAGUGAGAAACCUAAAUUUUGGUAAGGGAAUUAUCUAGCGAGAAUUAACAAUCAAUAGAUAAAAUCAGAAAUUAUUUCGAAUGAAACAGUAGAUUUAAUUUCGGUUAGAUUAAUGAUUAACAAGUUACUUCAAUUCAUUAUGUAACUACAGAACAUGGCUUAUUGA